This 240-nucleotide ribosomal RNA is filed under the name uncultured Candidatus Saccharibacteria bacterium. Its description in RNAcentral is "partial 16S ribosomal RNA". It matches the Rfam family "Bacterial small subunit ribosomal RNA", at positions 583 to 818 of the family's 1533-position model. Lineage: Bacteria; Candidatus Saccharimonadota. The record is from RNAcentral.
AUAAGUGAAUAGUGAAAUCUGAUGGCUCAACCAUACAGCUAUUAUUCAAACUGUACAACUCGAGAGUGGUAGAGGUCACUGGAAUUUCUUGUGUAGGGGUGAAAAUCCGUAGAUAUAAGAAGGAACACCGAUGGCGUAGGCAGGUGACUGGACCAUUUCUGACGCUAAAGGCACGAAAGCGUGGGGAGCGAACCGGAUUAGAUACCCGGGUAGUCCCACGCCGUAAAACGAUGGAUACUG